UAAUGGCAGGUCAGCAUACUGCCGUGAAUACGUUCCCGGGCCUUGUGCACACCGCCCGUCACACCAUGAGAGUUGGGAAUACCCGAAGCCUGUGAGCUAACAUUUAUGAGGCAGCAGUCGAAGGUAGAAUCAAUGAUUGGGGUGAAGUCGUAACAAGGUAGC
Molecule: ribosomal RNA, 162 nt
Filed under: uncultured bacterium
Lineage: Bacteria
Description: partial 16S ribosomal RNA
Rfam family: Bacterial small subunit ribosomal RNA
Source: RNAcentral